This 3444-nucleotide long non-coding RNA is filed under the name Olea europaea (common olive). Its description in RNAcentral is "long non-coding RNA (OEUR_LNC004115)". The record is from RNAcentral. Lineage: Eukaryota; Viridiplantae; Streptophyta; Magnoliopsida; Lamiales; Oleaceae.
GUUGCAGGACAACAAAAUAAAGAUUUUUUACACAAGGCGUCCAAAAGAAGCCUUUGAGUCCAAGGAAGAGAAUCAUCAACUUGAAUGCCACAGGUCAUCCAACAUCCUGAAACAAGUUGGAAACAUGAUACUGAUCAGCUCAAAUAUAAAUUACGAACUCUAACCAGUUUCAUAAAAUCAUAGGGACUAGUCAAAAUUUUGCUGUAGUAUAAAUGAUCAAAAAUAGGCACUCCCAGUUGGGAAGAUCCAGCUUUCUUAUGGGAGUUAUGGAUUUGACUAGUUAGCACUCUUGGAGUGAGUUCUCCAAAUAUUUUUAGGCUUUUGAGAUUGGCAAUGGGAGGCUAUAGAUAUUUUGGUUGGAUAAAGAGUGUAGAUGACUCGAAAAUGUUUAGUCCAGUGGAACUGCUAAAAGAUUGGAAUAUAAGUUGUUUGGAGAAAUGUGAUGUAGAUCAAAUCUACAAACACGUAAUGAUAAUAACUCAAACAGAUUGAACUCAAGAAAAUCAACGUUUCUUCUUAUUUCAUGAACAAUAAAAAACCUACGAGGCGUUUUCAAAGCCUUAAAUAUGAAAAAAACAAAUAACCUAUUGGGCCAUGUCAUCAAAUAUCGGAUUCAAUAAUUCAAUUCGAUUCGGCAAGAAUAAUUCACGGAUCCAUCAAAUUCGAUAAUUCAACCGAUAUUUGAUUGUUAAAUCCACAUUCGAUUUUCCAUUUCAUCGAAUAUUGGAUUCAAUAAUUCAAUUCGAAAUAUUUUAAACAUAUUCUUCUUUUAUUGGAAAGGGGACUCUCAAUCUCAAUACAAAUUUUAUUAUAAUAUAUAUUAAUUUUAUAAAAAUUUGAUAGGUUCUUUAUUAAAAGUCAUAAAGUAUGAUACAAAUUUCAAAAUGAAAAAAAUUGUGUAAUAAAUUAUGCAGUAAUAUAUAAAAUAUAUUAUAUUAUUAUGACAAAUCGGAUUAGAUUGACCUAUAUUCAUAUUUGCUCCAUUUAGUUAGCGAUUAAGUUAUCGGACUGAGACUCUAAAUCCUUCUCCCACUAAUUUCAUCGGAUUUUAAUCAAAGUUCAAUCCAUUAAGAGUCCUAGUACUAAAUAAGAGUUUUUAUAGAAAUUCAUUCGAUGGUGAUGAUGGAGUUUAUGUUUCAACGCGAACGUUAUUUAUACAUCUUUCAUUGGACUGUGACAUUCUAAUGAAGUGUCGAGUUAUAACUCAUCCAAACUUGUAAUCUGAUUUGGCGACGAGUUGGCCUUUUGUUUAUUCUUUAAAAAGACUUGGAAAAUUACAUAUUUGAAUUGUGACAUUUCAAUUAUUGAAAUGAAAAAUCAUUUUCAUAUAUUGUUCAAUAGAUGUGUGCACCCUUUCUGUCACCUAAAAGGCACUGAUAUUAUAUUUCUUGUAGGGCUAAAGUUUAGAAGUAAGUAAAUUUUUAUUUUCAACUAUAUUGGAUAUGUUAUUUCAUUCUCGUUAUAAGUAGAGAAGUUAUUUCUUUUGGAAAAUUAGUGUUAAAUAGGUAAACUAUUUAUAAAUAUUUAUUUUAAGCUUAGUUAAAUAUUUACAUCAGUGAUCCUUUUAUAUUUGAAAUGAUGUGUCCUCAAAAUUUUUAUCUUAAAUUAUAAUUUUCUUGUACUUAUAAAGGCUUUUUCCUACAAUCCAAACAAAAAAAUUGAGUCGGUUGUCAAAUUUUAAGAUUAAUUAAUCCCUGUUUGGUGCGUCUUCUUGGACAAAUCUAUUAGAUUUCGAUAGAUUUGUGAAUUAAAGAAAACAAAUAGGACCCACAUGACUGUUGUAUAUAAUUAUUUUAUUUUAUUUUAUUUAUUUAUUUAUUUAUUUAUUAUUAUUAUUAUUAUUAUUAUUAUUAUUAUUAUUAUUAUUAUUAUUAUUAUUAUUUGUCCCUGAUACACAUCAUCUUAACAAGUCUUUAAAAUUAUAAAUACGAAAUUAUAUAGACACCAAAUUGGAACUGUUAAAAUAAUAAUUAAAAAAACUCUCCAGUCUCGACACUUUCAAUAGUAUAAAAUUGCUUUCAAGUUAAUUAAAUGUAAAACCUUUGCUGAUUUUCUCUUCAUUGGUUCAACUACAACACAGUGGUUGAUUAUGCUAACCUAGAAUUUUUCUACGUUGUCCAAAAACCAAAGAAUAAUAUAUAUUUAAUUUUUUAGACCAAAAACCAAAAAUAAUAUAUUUAUUAUUUUAUACAUUUCUGGUUGACUAAUACCUAGCAAAUAAGUAUUAUAUGCUAGGGAGGGAGCAAUAUUUAGCUCCCAUUUGACAACCAUUAUUUUCAAAAAAUUUUAUAACUUGUUUUCAAUCACACAUUGAUGGAAUAAAUAUUCUGCACGUAAAUCCUUUUUUUUUCCUUUUACUGUUUAACUACACAUUUUCCUAAAAAUUAUUAUUCAAAAUUCUAUUUUUCUGAAAUAAUGGUUGUCCAACAAGGUUAAGUUAGAAACAUAUUAUCUUGUAGCGUAUGUUCAGAACGUUAUUCACUUAGCAAAGAAUUAUGUUUAUCAUGUAAGGACAAAACAUAUACAUCCGAAACAUGCUUUAAAAUGGUGUAAAAAUUGUCUCUUCUCAUGUUGUUUCCAGUGUUGGAUUAUAUCCUACUCAUGCUUAGUUGAUAUGAUACAGUUAGAUGUCUAAACAGGAAUAACAAAUCAUAAAUGUGACCUUUACAGGGGAUAUGUACUGGCAACACGAUAGAUGCACGCUGUGGAUUUAGCAAAAUUCUAACACAUCAACUUGAGUGCAGCUUAUAAGAUUUUGGUUUGUGUACAAAGAAAAAUAAAAGUGUUAUUCAACUGGACAAUGCUAUUUUGACCAAAAAAUAAGAACAAUCAUUUUCCAUCUCGAUCUUAAAAUAGCCAUGUGAAAUGAAAUUCCAUAAACUAUAAAUGCGACUGCAACAACCACAUUCUUACGCAAAUCACAUUCUCUAACAUCUUAAUAGUUAGUUGCAACUUGCAUGGUAUACAAUCCAACUCAAAUGAAGAGAGUCCUACAUUCAUUUUCUUAACCCGGGAUGCAUGUUUGCGUGUGCUUAUUCUACUUACGAGGAGACUGAGCUUUUACAGUUACAGAGGUAUGCAAAAAAUCCUUGCACUUCUUUCGAAAUAGCUUCUACUAUGUUUAUCGUCAUUCACCAACAGAAGAUUUCCACUUUACAGUUGCAGGACAACAAAAUAAAGAUUUUUUUACACAAGUCGUUCAAAAGAAGCCAUUGAGUCCAAGGAAGAGAAUCAUCAACUUGAAUGCUACAGGUCAUCCAACAUCCUGAAACAAGUUGGAAACAUGAUACUGAUCAGCUCAAAUAUAAAAUACGAACUCUGACCAGUUCCAUAAAUGAAAUAAAAUCAUAGACUAGUCAAAAUUUUGCUCUAGAAUAAAUGAUAAAAAAUAGACACUCCCAAAACAGGCAGUUGGGAAGAUCCAGCUUUCUUAUGGGAGUUAUG